Brettanomyces nanus is the source of this 81-nucleotide non-coding RNA. The record is from the annotation of a RefSeq genome assembly. NCBI's taxonomy places the organism in Eukaryota, Fungi, Ascomycota, Pichiomycetes, Pichiales, Pichiaceae.
GAAGUGGCCGAGCGGUCUAAGGCGGCAGACUCAAGAUCUAUCACUCCCCAGAGAACGCAGGUUCGAAUGCCGCAUUAUGCA